This is a non-coding RNA of Salmo salar (Atlantic salmon), 54 nucleotides long. NCBI's taxonomy places the organism in Eukaryota, Metazoa, Chordata, Actinopteri, Salmoniformes, Salmonidae. The record is from Rfam.
UGCAUUCACUACUGUAAGUCGCUCUGGAUAAAAGCGCCUGCUAAAUGACGUAAA